This 349-nucleotide ribosomal RNA is filed under the name uncultured bacterium. RNAcentral's name for it is "bacterial SSU rRNA". It matches the Rfam family "Bacterial small subunit ribosomal RNA", at positions 8 to 349 of the family's 1533-position model. The record is from RNAcentral.
AGAGUUUGAUCAUGGCUCAGGAUGAACGCUAGCUACAGGCUUAACACAUGCAAGUCGAGGGGAAACGACAUCGAAAGCUUGCUUUUGAUGGGCGUCGACCGGCGCACGGGUGAGUAACGCGUAUCCAACCUGCCCACCACUUGGGGAUAACCUUGCGAAAGUAAGACUAAUACCCAAUGACGUCUCUAGAAGACAUCUGAAAGAGAUUAAAGAUUUAUCGGUGAUGGAUGGGGAUGCGUCUGAUUAGCUUGUUGGCGGGGCAACGGCCACAAGGCGACGAUCAGUAGGGUUCUGAGAGGAAGGUCCCCCANAUUGGAACUGAGACACGGUCCAAACUCCUACGGGAGCA